RNAcentral lists this ribosomal RNA (484 nucleotides) under uncultured bacterium. Its description in RNAcentral is "partial 16S ribosomal RNA". It matches the Rfam family "Bacterial small subunit ribosomal RNA", at positions 30 to 507 of the family's 1533-position model. The record is from RNAcentral.
AUUGAACGCUGGCGGCAGGCCUAACACAUGCAAGUCGAGCGGAUGAAGGGAGCUUGCUCCUGGAUUCAGCGGCGGACGGGUGAGUAAUGCCUAGGAAUCUGCCUGGUAGUGGGGGAUAACGUCCGGAAACGGGCGCUAAUACCGCAUACGUCCUGAGGGAGAAAGUGGGGGAUCUUCGGACCUCACGCUAUCAGAUGAGCCUAGGUCGGAUUAGCUAGUUGGUGGGGUAAAGGCCUACCAAGGCGACGAUCCGUAACUGGUCUGAGAGGAUGAUCAGUCACACUGGAACUGGAACACGGUCCAGACUCCUACGGGAGGCAGCAGUGGGGAAUAUUGGACAAUGGGCGAAAGCCUGAUCCAGCCAUGCCGAGUGUGUGAAGAAGGUCUUCGGAUUGUAAAGCACUUUAAGUUGGGAGGAAGGGCAGUAAGUUAAUACCUUGCUGUUUUGACGUUACCAACAGAAUAAGCACCGGCUAACUUCGUG